UAAGGAAUAUUGGUCAAUGGUCGCAAGACUGAACCAGCCAUGCCGCGUGCAGGAUGAAGGACCUAUGGUUUGUAAACUGCUUUUGUACAAGAGAAAACCCUCCGACGUGUCGGAGGCUGAUAGUAUUGUAAGAAUAAGCAUCGGCUAACUUCGUGCCAGCAGCCGCGGUAAGACGAAGGAUGCAAGCGUUAUCCGGAUUCAUUGGGUUUAAAGGGUGCGUAGGCGGACUUGUAAGUCAGUGGUGAAAUCCCUCAGCUUAACUGAGGAACUGCCAUUGAUACUGCAAGUCUUGAGUACAGAUGCCGUUGGCGGAAUAUGACAUGUAGCGGUGAAAUGCAUAGAUAUGUCAUAGAACACCGAUUGCGAAGGCAGCUGACGAAACUGUAACUGACGCUGAGGC
RNAcentral lists this ribosomal RNA (400 nucleotides) under uncultured bacterium. RNAcentral's name for it is "bacterial SSU rRNA". It matches the Rfam family "Bacterial small subunit ribosomal RNA", at positions 355 to 752 of the family's 1533-position model. The record is from RNAcentral.